GCAGCUUCGCGUAACUUAAGUUACGAGCCUUGCAAUACGCAAGAAUAUUCCAAAAUGUAAUUUUCUCGAUAUAAAUAUAAGAAAAGGCCUAACCAAUGUAUGAUAGAUGUUGUGACAACUAUCAAAAAAGGCGUUUAUAAAUACAGGCCGUUAUGUUUGUUUCAUAAAUUGUCUUGCAUACGGUUCUAAAUUUUCAUGAACACGUUAAAACAUUUCUUUGUAAUAAUCUCAACUGAAUAUCGAAGGGAAUUGUAAUUGACCAAGAAUUAAAAGUCUCAAAAUAGAGAUUUUUCAGUCUUAAACUGAUUUGGUUAAAACACUUUUCUCUACUUUUGAUUUGCAGUUUGGUGUAUAUGUAGUCUUUGAAGCGUGAGACAAUUUCGUUGGUAAAUGGGGGUAACGCUACUGUAAUUCUAGACAAAUCUUUUCAGAUUUUGUAUCUUGAAAUAUUAAUUCUCUCUUUUUUCAGACGCUGUUGAUAUUA
RNAcentral lists this long non-coding RNA (484 nucleotides) under Mytilus galloprovincialis (Mediterranean mussel). Lineage: Eukaryota; Metazoa; Mollusca; Bivalvia; Mytilida; Mytilidae. The record is from RNAcentral.